GAGCGGUGCCCUGAAGCUGGGAGGGAACAGGUGAGCGAGUCGGGACUAAGGGAGGAGAGCUAUACCUUAAGUCACGAGGGAGGAUGUAGAGCAAAUAGAUCUUUCGGCGGCAGCAGCUUUGGGGAGUCCAUGGCCAUCAGUCACUCCCUACUCCUUCUUGGCUGCCUGACAGCGGGGAUAGCACCUGCUACCACACGUUUCUUGAUCUAUGAUCUUGGAGAAGGUUUAUGCUAAAUUUUCUAGGACGAGAUCAGCCGUCCGGGGGCACCGUGAUGUCGAAAGGAGCAGCAGGAACACCUGUCUCUACUGGCACCUCCACUGUUGGCAGGGUUUUGGAAUACAUGGCAUUCCCUCCUGCCUCAGGACUCGGCACAGCCAAGAUUCUAAGGCAAGGUAGCUCAGAAGAAAAAGGAGGCGCUGAAAAUCGAAUUCUGAAAGUUUAACUCUGAAAUAUACUUUCCCUCAUGAAGCAAUAAAGAGAGAGGUAUCUGUGGAAGCUCUAAGGGUGGCUGAGGACCAACCACUUGGAUUAUCUUAGUUCUAAAAGGCUGUGCUCAGUAGAAGGAAGAAUGAGUGAAUGACUUAGUACAACCGUGAGAAACACACAGGAACCCCUCGUGAAGAGAGUUAGAGAAGUCAAGACUCAGAAAGAACAAGAGACUUUUGAAAAAUGUUGAAGAGGACAAGAGGCUUUUAAGUUAACGUCAGCACUUCGUAUUUGGAGUGGUGGUGCGAGGUCAGCAAACAACAUAAAAAUCUGCUCUUCCACGUCCUCAUUUGCCUCUGUCUCACAGGUUAAGCAGAAUGCUGUUCUGACCAGAAAGGGUGGAAAAGGAGGGAUAAGAGAGCUGGUAGGCCAAUAUAUGGAGAAAGAUCAUCAGAGAACAAUGUUUAGAUUUUCACGUCCUCUGUUUCCUAUGAAGAUGAGAAUCACUGUGUCAUAGCGCUGGAGGGAGCAGGGACAAUGGGGAAAUGCUAGCAGUCCAAAGGUCUUGGAGUUCUAGAAGGAAUGGUAUAUUAUUUUUUUUUAAUUUUAUUUUAUUUUUAAACUUUACACUAUUGUAUUGGUUUUGCCAAACAGUGGUUCAGGUACAUAUAAAAAGGGAAACGUAAAAAAGCCAUGAUAGUUGUUUUAGGGCUUGGUGAUAGAUGGGAAGGGAGACUGUGGCUCACCUGAAAUCCCUCCAUGCUGAUCUCCCCUACCCCCUGAAAUACAGCCAGUUUUUAGAGGAGUUUUUCUAGCAUAUGACUCUACUCUUUGUCCUUCCUCCUUAUUAUCGUUUCUCACAACUUGAUUUGAACUCAUACAUUUGAAAUAAAGCUCAUUUGUAUUGGGAAGGCAAUAGAACCAUGAAAGAUUUGGUUAGCAACUGUUUGUUGAAAAGGUAACUGAGAGAAGAUUUGGUAAAACGUUUCGCUUUCUGGUCACCUCGGACAAUCUAAUGGCUCUGAUCCUUGGUUUUCUCAUCUUGGAAAUGGGAACAAUAGCUGGGUGGUAGUCAGUGCUUUCUCCUCUUUAGUUCUGUUCCCCCGCCCAUGUUUUCUCUGGUCUUUCCCUGGGUUUUCCAUUCAUUUCAUUUUUGGCUUGUGUUACACAGCACAUUUUAUCAGGUUCACAG
This is a long non-coding RNA of Bos taurus (domestic cattle), 1619 nucleotides long. Lineage: Eukaryota; Metazoa; Chordata; Mammalia; Artiodactyla; Bovidae. The record is from Ensembl.